RNAcentral lists this ribosomal RNA (743 nucleotides) under Salmonella enterica. RNAcentral describes it as "partial 23S ribosomal RNA". It matches the Rfam family "Bacterial large subunit ribosomal RNA", at positions 448 to 1190 of the family's 2925-position model. Lineage: Bacteria; Pseudomonadati; Pseudomonadota; Gammaproteobacteria; Enterobacterales; Enterobacteriaceae. The record is from RNAcentral. RNAcentral also lists the same sequence under 1 other name.
GGGGACCAUCCUCCAAGGCUAAAUACUCCUGACUGACCGAUAGUGAACCAGUACCGUGAGGGAAAGGCGAAAAGAACCCCGGCGAGGGGAGUGAAAAAGAACCUGAAACCGUGUACGUACAAGCAGUGGGAGCACAGGUUUACCUGUGUGACUGCGUACCUUUUGUAUAAUGGGUCAGCGACUUAUAUUCUGUAGCAAGGUUAACCGAAUAGGGGAGCCGGAGGGAAACCGAGUCUUAAUUGGGCGUUAAGUUGCAGGGUAUAGACCCGAAACCCGGUGAUCUAGCCAUGGGCAGGUUGAAGGUUGGGUAACACUAACUGGAGGACCGAACCGACUAAUGUUGAAAAAUUAGCGGAUGACCUGUGGCUGGGGGUGAAAGGCCAAUCAAACCGGGAGAUAGCUGGUUCUCCCCGAAAGCUAUUUAGGUAGCGCCUCGUGAAUUCAUCUCCGGGGGUAGAGCACUGUUUCGGCUAGGGGGCCAUCCCGGCUUACCAACCCGAUGCAAACUGCGAAUACCGGAGAAUGUUAUCACGGGAGACACACGGCGGGUGCUAACGUCCGUCGUGAAGAGGGAAACAACCCAGACCGCCAGCUAAGGUCCCAAAGUCAUGGUUAAGUGGGAAACGAUGUGGGAAGGCCCAGACAGCCAGGAUGUUGGCUUAGAAGCAGCCAUCAUUUAAAGAAAGCGUAAUAGCUCACUGGUCGAGUCGGCCUGCGCGGAAGAUGUAACGGGGCUAAACCAU